This 44-nucleotide non-coding RNA is filed under the name Trichobilharzia regenti. The record is from RNAcentral. Lineage: Eukaryota; Metazoa; Platyhelminthes; Trematoda; Strigeidida; Schistosomatidae.
AUUAGCUGAUGAGUCCCAAAUAGGACGAAAUGCGCAUCGUAGAU